GACGAACGCUGGCGGCGUGCUUAACACAUGCAAGUCGAACGGAAAGGCCCUGCUUGCAGGGUACUCGAGUGUCGAACGGGUGAGUAACACGUGUGUGAUCUGCCCUGUACUUCGGGAUAAGCCUGGGAAACUGGGUCUAAUACCGGAUAUGAGCCAUUUUUCUUGUGAUUGUUGGAAAGUUUUUUCGGUGUAGGAUGAGCUCGCGGCCUAUCAGCUUGUUGGUGGGGUAAUGGCCUACCAAGGCGGCGACGGGUAGCCGGCCUGGGAGGGUGGACGGCCACAAUGGGACUGAGAUACGGCCCAGACUCCUACGGGAGGCAGCAGUGGGGAAUAUUGCACAAUGGGCGCAAGCCUGAUGCAGCGACGCCGCGUGGGGGAUGACGGCCUUCGGGUUGGAAACUCCUUUCGCUAGGGACGAAGCUGUUUGUGACGGUACCUAGAUAAGAAGCACCGGCUAACUACGUG
Molecule: ribosomal RNA, 465 nt
Filed under: uncultured bacterium
Lineage: Bacteria
Description: partial 16S ribosomal RNA
Rfam family: Bacterial small subunit ribosomal RNA
Source: RNAcentral